Girardinichthys multiradiatus is the source of this 285-nucleotide long non-coding RNA. RefSeq lists it as uncharacterized. The transcript is spliced from 3 exons. Lineage: Eukaryota; Metazoa; Chordata; Actinopteri; Cyprinodontiformes; Goodeidae. The record is from RefSeq and is a predicted model, not a curated record.
CGAAGAUCUAGCAGGACAAGUUGGGUUCGGCACAAUUAUCUUAAGAAGCUUUAACUGGGAGUGACAGGACAAGUUAAAACACAGCUAGCAGCCGCUUCAAUUCAUCGACACGCGCAUGCGCCGGUGUCGCCCAAGCAGAGAGCCAGUGAUCAGAUCUGAACCCAGCAGAGUGCUUUCAGCACACCUACUGGACUGAAUCAAACACCAUUCUUCAAAGAAAAAUUCUGCUGUAGGAGCCGUAGGAGGGCAACAACCCAGCAGCAGGACCGCUACCUCCGUCUUUGU